CUGGUUGAUCCUGCCAGUUUUAUAUGCUCGUCUAAAAGUUUAAGCCAUGCAUGUGUAAGUAUAAGCUUUUAUACAGUGAAACUGCAUAUGGCUCAUUAAACCAGUUAUUGUUUUCACGAUAGUACCUUUCCUACUUGGAUAACCGUCGGAAACGAGGGCUAAUACAUGCACCAACGCUUGACUAGGGAUUUUUCUCUGGAAGGGCUGCAUUUGUUAGACAAAAAACCAACGCAGGGUUUCGGCUCUGGACUCACUUGGUGAAUCAUAACAACUUAGCGAAUCGCAUGACCUUGUGUCGGCGAUGAUUCGUCCAAAUUUCUGCCCUAUCAACUUUCGUUGGUAAGAUAGAGGCUUACCAAGGUUUUUACGGGUACAGGGGAUUAGGGUUCGAUGCUGGAGAGGGGGCCCGAGAAAUGGCCACAUUCCUACGGGAAGCAGCAGGCGCGCAAAUUGCCCAAUCAGAAAUACUGGAGGCAGUGACAAUAAAUAACAAUACAAUGUCCUCUAAUGGUCUUGUAAUUGGAAUGAGUACGAUGUAAACACACUAACGAUAAACAAUUGGAGGGCAAGUCUGGUGCCAGCAGCCGCGGUAAUUCCAGCUCCAAAAGUGUAUAAAAACGCUGUUGUGGUUAAAACGCUCGUAGUUGGAUAUCAGGAUGGGGAGGAUUGUGUCCGCCAUGAUGGUGUGUACUGGUCCACCUAUCCUUUAUUUUUCCUUUUACAGGUUAUUCGCCUCUCACCUUUAAUUGGGUGGAGGUUAGUCUGGGUAGCAUUUUUUCUCUUGUUUUUCAAGGGGUUAAAAGUGUUUUAUUCUGGGCUGCACUUAUGUCGGUUUUAUAGGGCUGGAAAUUAGGAAGGCACCUUUUGGUUUCUUUUUAAUUUUUUGGCUCUCGGCAUUAAGCUGGAAUUCCUGUUCUUUCACUUUGAGAAAAUAAGCGUGUUCAAAGCAGGCAAGUUUGAUUGCCAUGAAUUCUCGAGCAUGGGAUGAUGAAAGAGGUCUACAGUCCUAUUUUGUUGGUUUCUAGGAUUAUAGAAAUGAUUAAUAGGAACGGUUCGGGGGCAUUCGUAUUACAAAGUUAGAGGUGAAAUUCUUGGAUCUUUGUAAGACGAACAUGGGCGAAAGCAUCUGUCAAGGACGCUUCCAUUAAUCAAGAACGAAAGUUAAGGGAUCGAAGACGAUCAGAUACCGUCGUAGUCUUAACUGUAAACUAUGCCGAUCAGGGAUUGAAGGACGUUGAAUGCAGGACUCCUCCAGCACCUUGUGAGAAAUCAUAAAUUUUUAGGCUCCAGGGGGAGUAUGGUCGCAAGACUGAAACUUAAGGAAUUGACGGAAGGGCACCACCAGGAGUGGAGCUUGCGGCUUAAUUUGACUCAACACGAGGAAACUUACCAGGUCCGGACAAAGGAAGGAUUGACAGAUUGAAGUUCUUUCUUGAUUCUUUGGGUGGUGGUGCAUGGCCGUUUUUAGUUGGUGGAUUGAUUUGUCUGGUUAAUUCCGAUAACGAACGAGACCUCAGCUGCUAAAUAGUUAUGCGAAUUCUUCUAACAAAAGGUGGAGCGCGCAGCAGACCCUGAGUGCGCAAGUACUUCAGACUGUUGUGGAUUUUAUACAGUGAAGCCUGGUUGGAUUCGUAGACAACUGCUUAUCGGGACUAUCGGCAUCUAGUCGAUGGAGGAUUGAGGCAAAAACAGGUCUGUGAUGCCCUUUAGAUGUCCUGGGCUGCACGCGUGUUACACUGAACAGGUCAACGAGUUUUACAAUUCCUUGGCAGAAAUGUCUGGGUAAUCUUUUAAAACCUGUUCGUGCUGGGGAUCGAAGAUUGCAAUUAUUCUUCGUCAACGAGGAAUUCCUAGUAAGCGCGUUUCAUCAAAUCGCGCUGGAUAAGUCACUGCUCUUUGUACACACCGCCCGUCGCUUCCUCCGAUUUGUCAGUUCCGGUGAAGUAUUCGGAUUGUGGCCUGUUUACUUGUCGGCUUUCGAGUUGAUAAGGUGGGCUGUAAGAUGUCUCCUAAACCUUAACUGAUAGAGGAAGAAGAAGUCGUAACAAGGUUUCCGUAGGUGAACCUGCAGAAGGAUCA
Molecule: ribosomal RNA, 2079 nt
Filed under: Amoebozoa sp. JAMX8
Lineage: Eukaryota
Description: bacterial SSU rRNA
Rfam family: Eukaryotic small subunit ribosomal RNA
Source: RNAcentral